CCUACGGGAGGCAGCAGUGAGGAAUAUUGGUCAAUGGGCGUAAGCCUGAACCAGCCAAGUCGCGUGCGGGAUGAAGGCCCUAUGGGUUGUAAACCUCUUUUGUAGGGGAAUAAAACCCUCCCCUUGUGGAGGUUUGCAGGUACCGUACGAAUAAGGUCCGGCUAAUUCCGUGCCACCAGCCGCGGUAAUACGGAAGUGCCGAGCGUUAUCCGGAUUCAUUGGGUUUAAAGGGUGCGUAGGCGGUUUUUAAAGUCAGCGGGAAAAUAGUGGGGUUCAACCGCUCCCCGCCGUUGAAACUGGACGUCUUGAGUGUGCAAGAGGUAGGCGGAAUGCGUGGUGUAGCGGUGAAAUGCAUAGAUAUCACGAAGAACCCCGAUUGCGAAGGCAGCCUACCGGGGUGCGACUGACGCUGAGGCACGAAGGCGUGGGUAUCAAACAGGAUUAGAUACCCUUGUAGUC
RNAcentral lists this ribosomal RNA (459 nucleotides) under uncultured bacterium. Its description in RNAcentral is "partial 16S ribosomal RNA". It matches the Rfam family "Bacterial small subunit ribosomal RNA", at positions 338 to 795 of the family's 1533-position model. The record is from RNAcentral.